UGGGGAAUAUUGGGCAAUGGGGCGAAAGCCUGACCCAGCAACGCCGCGUGAAGGAAGAAGGCCCUUCGGGUUGUAAACUUCUUUUACCAGGGACGAAGGACGUGACGGUACCUGGAGAAAAAGACAACGGCUAACUACGUGCCAGCAGCCGCGGUAAUACGUAGGUUGCAAGCGUUGUCCGGAUUUACUGGGUGUAAAGGGCGUGUAGGCGGAGAUGCAAGUUGGGAGUGGAAUGCAGGGGCUCAACCCCUGAACUGCUCUCAAAACUGUAUCCCUUGAGUAUCGGAGAGGCAAGCGGAAUUCCUAGUGUAGCGGUGAAAUGCGUAGAUAUUAGGAGGAACACCAGUGGCGAAGGCGGCCUACUGGGCACCAACUGACGCUGAGGCUCGAAAGUAUGGGUAGCAAACAGGAUUAGAUACCCUGGUAGU
RNAcentral lists this ribosomal RNA (428 nucleotides) under uncultured Pseudoflavonifractor sp. RNAcentral describes it as "bacterial SSU rRNA". It matches the Rfam family "Bacterial small subunit ribosomal RNA", at positions 355 to 794 of the family's 1533-position model. Lineage: Bacteria; Bacillati; Bacillota; Clostridia; Eubacteriales; Oscillospiraceae. The record is from RNAcentral.